AAUCUCUCCCUCUGAGCCCUUCCUAAUCCCUCUCUGUCUCCAAUACACUCGGAGAAAAUGCAAUGAAGGACCCUAACCCGAUCACUCAUGUCCGACUCAGCUCCUCCGCAAGAUCCGCCGACGACGUCGUCGUGGUUGCCAACCGCGACCCCUCCUUCCUCACGAGCCAAGCUCCGCAAGAUCCCUCAGAUCCCAAUCCACCGGUCCCCGAAGCAUGACUACGCAACGCGAAGCGACGACGAAGAAGACGAAGAAGAAGGCGAAGACGAUGUUUCACACACCGAGGAUGCCGAUUCUCCGAUGCUUGUCGCGUCGAAGCUGGGGCUCAACCACAUUCGCACCCGCUCCGCUCCUUCGCCGCUCCGGUUCUCGUCGUUGGCCGGUACACUUUCGAAUUUGGGGGACGAUUCCAACAGGACUAAGGCCACGGUCCCGGCUGAGACCAAAUUGGCCUAUUCGUAUCAGCCAGACACGUUAAUAGAACAAGGGAAAAAGGUUCAAUGGAGUCCGUCGAGAUCAGUGAAAGCCCCAUCGCCACUCAAUCUGGGGUUGGAGGCUAAUCAUGCAGCCUUUGUCAAGGAAAUCCAAUCGCCGCGUUUCCAGGCAAUACUGCGUGUCACGAGUGGGCGUAAGAAGAGAAACCCUGAGAUCAAGAGCUUCUCUCACGAACUCAACUCCAAAGGAGUUCGACCAUUUCCGGUUUGGAAGUCUCGUGCAUUUGGGCACAUGGAGGAGAUUAUGGUGGCAAUAAGGACAAAAUUUGACAGGUUAAAGGAAGAAGUUAACUAUGAUUUAGGUGCAUAUGCUGGAGAUUUGGUGGGUAUACUUGAGAAGACUUCAGACUCUCACUCUAAAUGGAAAGAGGGUGUGGAGGAUUUGUUGCUGGUUGCAAGGCGCUGCGCAAUGAUGCCGUCUAGUGAGUUUUGGGUGAAGUGUGAAGGCAUUGUUCAGAAUUUGGAUGACCGGCGUCAAGAGCUACCAAUGGGGGUCCUCAAACAAGCCCAUACCCGCCUUCUUUUUAUCCUCACUCGGUGCACCCGACUUGUGCAGUUCCAGAAAGAGAGUGGUUAUGAAGAAGACCACAUACUGGGACUUCACCAACUCAGUGAUCUUGGGGUUUAUUCGGAACAAGUUUUGCAGGCUACACGGCAGGAAUUCAGUGGGCCAUUGAGUGGGAAGGAGGUGAAUAAGAAGCAGAUGAAAAAGUCACAUGGGCAGGAAAAGGGCAGUCAGAUUAAGAAGCAUGGUCAAGUAGAUCAAGAUCCCAGUAGUGGAGCUGAUGGUGUGGAAAUUGGCACUGCCAGAAGUGCUGAUUCAUCUUCAAGCAGCUAUAGGAUGUCAUCUUGGAAGAAACUUCCAGGUGCUGCUGAGAAAAACCGGAAAAUUCAUUAUGCUGUUGAUGCUCCCUCCAAGGAUAAACCGGAAAAGUUGCAACAUAAAGAUGAAAGAAAAACUGGGGGUGAUGACACCAUUGAAAAUCUGGACAGUCCAUUAUGCCGCCCUGAACAUUCAGAGGCUUCUUCAGGGUUACAAAGAGUUGGACUCUGGGAUCAGCAGAAUGUUACGUAUGAGAGUUUGAUGAUCUGUCGUAUUUGUGAGGUCGAGAUACCAACUGUGCAUGUAGAAGAGCACUCUCAAAUAUGUACAAUUGCCGAUAGAUGUGACUUGAAAGGCUUAACUGUUAAUGCACGGCUUGAAAGAGUUGCCGAAAGUCUUGAAAGGAUCCUGGAAUCUUGGACUCCAAGGAGUACGCCUGGAAGCACCGAUACUCCUAGAGGAAGUUUCGAGGUUGCUAGAGUGUCUACAUCUAGUAUACAUGAGUUAGAUGACAUGUCACCUAAGCAAAACAGCUUGUCUCAUCGAUGCUCUGAAGAAGUUCUUGAUUGUGCUGCUGAUAUAGAUAAUAAUUUUGUCAUGGAUGCUCUAAAUGUUUUGCCCGAAAUGUCAUUUGAAACUGUGAGACCUGAUCGAUGCGCAAGAGCCUUGUCAGCAGGAAGCUUGACACCUCGAUCAACAUUAUUAACACCACGGACCAACCAGAUUGAAUUGCUUUUGAGUGGACGGAGAAUGCUAGCAGAGCUUGAGAAUUAUCAGCAGAUAAACAAGUUGCUGGAUAUUGCUCGUUCUGUUGCAAAUGUAAACAACUGUGAGUACAGUGCAUUGGAGUAUAUGAUUGACCGUCUGGAAGAACUCAAAUAUGCCAUCCAGGACAGAAAGGUGGAUGCCCUUGUCGUAGAGACUUUUGGAAGACGUAUAGAGAAACUAUUGCAGGAGAAGUAUGUACAUCUUUGUGGGCAGAUAGAAGAUGAAAAAGUAGAUUCAAAUGGCAUAGUUGAUGAAGAGAGUAUGAUGGAAGAUGAUACAGUCCGAAGUCUGCGUGCAAGCCCCAUCGAUCCAUGUUCUAAGGACCGGACAUCAAUAGAAGAUUUUGAGAUAAUGAAACCAAUUAGUAGAGGGGCAUUUGGGCGAGUGUUUCUUGCAAGGAAAAGAGCAACUGGUGAUUUAUUUGCUAUAAAGGUUUUAAAGAAAGAUGAUAUGAUCCGUAAAAAUGCGGUUGAAAAUAUUUUGGCGGAGCGUGACAUCCUUAUAUCACUUCGCAAUCCUUUUGUGGUCCGAUUUUUCUACUCCUUCACAUGCAGGGAAAAUCUUUAUUUGGUCAUGGAGUAUUUAAACGGCGGAGAUCUUUACUCUUUGUUGAGAAAUCUAGGCUGCUUGGAUGAAGACAUGGCCCGUAUAUAUAUUGCAGAAGUUGUUCUUGCUUUGGAGUAUUUGCAUUCUUUAAAUGUCAUUCAUAGAGAUUUGAAGCCUGACAACUUGUUGAUUGGUCAAGAUGGUCACAUCAAGUUGACAGAUUUUGGGCUUUCAAAGGUUGGUCUCAUUAACAGUACAGAUGACUUAUCAGGUCUAUCAGUCAGCAGUACUGAUUUCCUUGGUGAUGAACCAAAAAGUCAGCCUUCAAUGAAAAGAGAACAGCGCCAAAAGCAACCAGUUGUAGGCACGCCUGAUUAUUUGGCACCCGAGAUACUUCUUGGCAUGGGACAUGGUGCAACUGCAGAUUGGUGGUCUGUGGGUGUUAUUCUAUUUGAGCUGCUUGUAGGUAUUCCACCAUUCAAUGCUGAACAUCCUCAGCAAGUUUUUGACAACAUAAUAAACAGAGAUAUACCUUGGCCAAAGGUACCUGAGGAGAUGAGCUCCGAAGCAUAUGAUUUGGUUGACAAAUUUCUGACUGAAAAUCCAGUACAAAGACUAGGUGCAACAGGAGCCAGGGAGGUGAAGCAACAUCCUUUCUUCAAGGAUAUUAAUUGGGAUACACUUGCAAGGCAAAAGGCUAUGUUCAUACCAGCAGCAGAAGCACAUGAUACAAGUUAUUUUAUGAGCCGGUACAUAUGGAAUGUAGAAGAUGACCAUGUGGUGGGGGGUAGUAGUGACUUUGAGGACAUAACUGAAACAUGCAGCAGCAGAUCAUGCAGCAACGAGCACGAUGAAGAUGGUGAUGAAUGUGGUAGUUUGGCAGACUUCCAUUGUCCAGCCCUUGCAGUGAAGUACUCGUUUAGUAAUUUCUCAUUUAAGAACUUGUCUCAGCUGGCUUCUAUCAAUUUUGAUCUAGUUGUGAAGAGCAGCAAGGAAUCACCAGAAGCCUCAAAACCAUCCAUUCCAUGACAAUUUUACAUGGUUACUUUAGCAAACUUUUAUUCUCAUCUAUCACCUAGCAAUUCAUCCUUUUGCUCUCAGCUUAGCACUUGCCUUUGGCUCAAUCAGUGCAUACGCAGUUUUUCGACGAGGAAGGUCUUCAACCUGAACAGUUAUAAACAAAGGCUCAUCUGGUCUGAUAUGGCUUUUAUUUCUAGAAAAGCAGUUAUUUUUCUUGAAGGAAAAGAUAGGUGUAUGUCGCCGUACAUACUGACCAACUUAUUAUUAGAUAGUAGCCGGAAUAAUUACGAUGUAAUUAAGCAGAAGUAUCGUGGAAAUCCUUGGUGAUCAGUGGAUUGAGGGGCACUGGGCUCGCCAUGGGUACUACUGGACUAAAGCGACAACUCUUUUGCAGAGUUCUUUCCCUAGGAAAACAUUUUUACAAGAAGUUUUACAUGCAAUGCUUCUUCCAAGGAAUAUGCUUUCAGAAGUACUGCACGAGUUUGUAGUUUAUGAAACAUAACCCAUUGAGAAUCCGAAACCAAACACCAAUGUGAUUUGGCAUUUUACUUUCCUUUUUAUUCUGCGGACUAAGAACCAAAAUUAUGGAUUGAAAAAAGAAAAAGAUCGAAAAAGAA
Molecule: RNA transcript, 4268 nt
Organism: Alnus glutinosa
Lineage: Eukaryota; Viridiplantae; Streptophyta; Magnoliopsida; Fagales; Betulaceae
Gene name: probable serine/threonine protein kinase IRE
Exons: 18
Source: RefSeq, a predicted model, not a curated record